GUAUAUUUCCUACCCUUUAGAGUCAGUUCCCAACAAGGGUCCUCCUGCCUGGAGUAGCUUUUGCCAAUAGAAUAAGACCAAGUUCAGUUCAGAAGCAAAGGAAAGCUUUAGUUUUCCAUGAAAGGAUGGAGAGGUGCUCGCUCUCACUCCAAAGCACAGAUGUCACAUGACAGGCUGUGGGCGGGGCUGCUUCAUGGGCCCUCCUCCAGGGAGAGGGCGGAGUUCUCUCGCGCAGGCGCAGCAGGGCUGCUUAGCGUCUCUGCACACAGCCAACAGUGCCACCUUGGACUGAGAUUCCUGAGCAGCGCUUUUGUGCGCAGUCCCAAGCUGAGGUGUUGGCACAGCCGUUUUGCACUAGGAACUCUGGUCUGAAGUGCUAGGGGCAAAGCCUCUGCACCAGGCACCCUAUACGCAAGUGUCACUAGAAGAAGCACAAAGGAAAAGAAAAAGCAUAUGUUGCUUCCUACUAUGUGUCAGGCCCCAUGUGAAGUAUUGGGGUGCAGAGCUAAAUAAGCUACAGUCCAGCCCUCAGGGAGCAUACAGGCUGAGUGGAGGAGACCACCAAGGACAGGAGCCCACCCUAGAAAUGGUUCUUGGCACCUCCUCCAGGAAUCUCCCAUUGCUGAUCUCACUGCCCAGUUAUUCCAUCUCCCAGACCAUCCAGAAUCCUGAUGUCCAACCACACAAGCAUUCUUCAUCCGGCACAUUUUCCAACACCUGUUUUUGACAGACCUCCAGAAUUAGUACUUACGUAACAGUUUUCAGACCACAUGUGGAACAGCAAUGCCCUCCAGCCCUGGCAAGAAGGCUCUGCACGUGGUCAUCACUGGAUAGGCUUUAUGGAAUCCUUUAGAAACUCCAGUGCUCCUCCAGAUGUCUGAAGAAUGUACAGAGGAGUAUAGGAGGAGUCUUUGUGGAGGCUCUGUUAGAAUGAAGAGGCCCCUCUGUGAUGAUGUUUGCAAGAUUUGUGUGAGGACACCAGUUCUACUGUCUAAAUAGCUUCAUGAACCUGAACUUCUUAUCUCAAUGUGGCCUUGACCUGAAGCUAGACCAAGUUCUUAAACUCUUUUGUGCCAAUAGACCUAGUUGAUAGUUUAGGGAGGCCUGUGGAUCUUUCUGCAGAAUGUUUUAAUGUCAGUGUUUUAAAUGCAGAAAAGAAAAACCACGGGAUUUCAAAAGAAAUCAGUUAUUCUCAAAUACAAUUAAUAAAAUGUGUGGUUCACAAA
This is a long non-coding RNA of Sus scrofa (pig), 1226 nucleotides long. RefSeq lists it as uncharacterized. NCBI's taxonomy places the organism in Eukaryota, Metazoa, Chordata, Mammalia, Artiodactyla, Suidae. The record is from RefSeq and is a predicted model, not a curated record.